GCAAAAGUAAAUUUAAAAUUUUACUGAGAGAAAGGAGUAAAUUUUCUCAUAAAUUGUUCUCAAAAUUUUAAUUUUACACUUCAGUUUGGCCGUUAAAUUUCCCUUUCUCGCAUGGUUUUUAACAUGCACUAUUUCAAUCCAUUUAGUUGAAAUGUUCCACAACAACGGUUUUGAUGGUGACCCGAAGAAGAAUGGCAAGAUCACGUCGAGUGAACCAGUAGAAAAAACUGCAGCCAACAGUUUCAGGAAACUACUGAAGAAUUUCGCCUCUGAUACAAGUUUUGGUGGAAUUUCAAAGGCGACUCUCUCCGAUGGACAUAUCCGACGUUUCAUCUGGUUUCUGAUUUCUGCGACUUGUUAUGGCUUUACCAUUUACAUGUGUUAUUUGUUGAUCAAGACGUAUUUGGAAAAACCCAUCAAAACAUCCGUGGAUAUUUCCUACGAAAAGGUUA
Molecule: long non-coding RNA, 452 nt
Filed under: Paramuricea clavata
Lineage: Eukaryota; Metazoa; Cnidaria; Anthozoa; Malacalcyonacea; Plexauridae
Source: RNAcentral